RNAcentral lists this ribosomal RNA (435 nucleotides) under Triticum aestivum (bread wheat). RNAcentral describes it as "partial small subunit ribosomal RNA". Lineage: Eukaryota; Viridiplantae; Streptophyta; Magnoliopsida; Poales; Poaceae. The record is from RNAcentral.
AUGCUAUUUUUCUUGCAUUUUAGUCUACUUGCUUUUUUACUUUACCCAUACUUUCCCAUUGCAUUGCCGGUUGUCGACGACGUGGUCAGGAAUUCACAUGGCUCAAACACUGAUAUUGCUGGUGUAGUCAUGUACGUGGGCCCAGUUGACCAUGAUACAUAUUCCCCUCUAUGGAUGAGCGAAGUAGCAUUGAUCGACGCUGGCAUGCAAAUUAUCUUCCUACACAUUUUUGAAGAACUAGCUGAACGCCAUUGGAAUGAACUUCUUUCUGAAGCAAAUGUUGGCUUAAUCAUGGCAACCUCGAUGAAGGUUGAUCAACUAUCCAAAACUCUUCUUAGCACGGAGGCAACAACUAUAUGCAUACAUUACUCCUCAAGUUGCCACAAUGUUCACUUUCUUAAAGGUGUUUGUAGGUGUGCAUCAUCAAGUUCGUGA